GCCCCCAGUACUUCCCCAAUCCUCCCCUUCUCCAUACCUCCCAAUCUUGUUCCUCUACUCUUUUGGUACUGGGGAUUGAACCCAGGGGCACUUAAGCAUGGAGAGACAGGGUCUUUCUGAAUUGCUAAGUGACUUAGGCUGGAUAAGUUGCUGAGGCUGGCUUUGAAUCCCUGAUACUCCCGCCUCAGCCUCUUGAGCUACUGAGAUUAUAGGUGUGCACCACCACACUCAGUUCUUUCUUCUGUUUUUUGAGAGACACCUCAUUUUUAAUAUGUCUUCUCCCAUGCCCUUUGGCUUCUACAUACAAGAAAAAAAAAACAUUCAAUCCGUAACUUUCUGAAUCUGGCUAUAUCACUUAAUUUCUCCCAUACAUCCAUUUACUUGCAAAUGGCAUAAUUUCAUUCUUAUUUAUAGCUGAGUAGAAUGCCAUUGUGUAUAGACACCACAUUUUCUUUAUCUUAGUCUGUUGAUUGGCACCUAUGCUAGAUCCAUAAUAUGACUAUUGUGAAUUGCACAUCUAUAAACAUUAGUAUUCACAUAUCACUAUAGUAUCCUGAUUUUAGAUCUUUUGGAUACAUACCAAACAGUGGGAUAUCUGGUUCAUGUGGUGGUUCUAUUUCUAAUCUUUUGAGGAAUCUCCAUACUGCUUUCCAAAGUGGUUGUACUAAUUUUAAUUCCCACCAAAAAUAUGAGUGUACCUAUUUCCCCACAUCCUCACCAGAAAUUAUUAUUAUUUGUAUUCUUGAUGAUUGCCAUUCUGACUAGAGUCAGAUGAAAUCUCAGUGUAGUUUUCAUUUGCAUUUCCCUGAUUGCUGUGGAUGUUGAACAUUCUUUCAUGUAUUUGUUGGCCAUUUUUAUUUUUCUUUUGAAAAUGUUUAUUUAGAUCUUUUGCCCAUUUAUCAACUGGGUAUUGUUUUUGAGUUUUUUAUAUAUUCUGGGUAUUUAUCUUCUGUCAGAGGAGUAGCUGGCAGGGAUUUUCUCCCAUUCUGUAGGCCCUCUCUUAUGCUCUUUAAUUUCUUUUGCUGUGCAGAAACUUUUUAAUAUGGUGGCAUCCCACUUACUGAUUUUUGGUUUCCUUUCUUGAGCUUUAAGGGUCUUGUUAAGGAAGUUGGUUCCUGUGCCAAUAUGGUGGAUUUCUGCCCCUAAGUUUUCUUCUAGCAGUUGCAAAGUUUCCUC
RNAcentral lists this long non-coding RNA (1176 nucleotides) under Marmota monax (woodchuck). Lineage: Eukaryota; Metazoa; Chordata; Mammalia; Rodentia; Sciuridae. The record is from RNAcentral.